GGCGAACGCUGGCGGCGUGCUUAACACAUGCAAGUCGAACGGAAAGGCCCUGCUUUUGUGGGGUGCUCGAGUGGCGAACGGAUGAGUAACACGUGAGUAACCUGCCCUUGACUUUGGGAUAACUUCAGGAAACUGGGGCUAAUACCGGAUAGGAGCUCCUGCUGCAUGGUGGGGGUUGGAAAGUUUCGGCGGUUGGGGAUGGACUCGCGGCUUAUCAGCUUGUUGGUGGGGGAGUGGCUUACCAAGGCUUUGACGGGUAGCCGGCCUGAGAGGGUGACCGGCCACAUUGGGACUGAGAUACGGCCCAGACUCCUACGGGAGGCAGCAGUGGGGAAUAUUGCACAAUGGGCGGAAGCCUGAUGCAGCAACGCCGCGUGCGGGAUGACGGCCUUCGGGUUGUAAACCGCUUUCGCCUGUGACGAAGCGUGAGUGACGGUAAUGGGUAAAGAAGCACCGGCUAACUACGUG
This 468-nucleotide ribosomal RNA is filed under the name uncultured bacterium. RNAcentral's name for it is "partial 16S ribosomal RNA". It matches the Rfam family "Bacterial small subunit ribosomal RNA", at positions 28 to 507 of the family's 1533-position model. The record is from RNAcentral.